RNA transcript from Drosophila nasuta, 2491 nucleotides. It is a transcript of the gene named carnitine O-acetyltransferase-like, with no coding region annotated. The transcript is spliced from 5 exons. Lineage: Eukaryota; Metazoa; Arthropoda; Insecta; Diptera; Drosophilidae. The record is from RefSeq and is a predicted model, not a curated record.
ACCAAUAUUUAUUUCAUUUCUAAACUGAAGCUACCCUUUUUUUGUAUUUGGAUUUGUAACUAAAUUUCUAGAAAUGCGUGCUGCAUAUGUUAGCCAAAGUAUCGUAACCAAUUGUCAUAGAAAUGGACGUUAUUAUAGUAAGAAAAAUAAGUGUCAUGAAACGUCCCGUGACAAGUUGCUUGCCAAGAAGAAUACUCGUCUAGUUGGUCGCAUUGUCAAUUAUUUCAAGACAUGGACAGAACAAUUCGAGCCAUAUCCUGCGCCAGUUUCGCAAUCAGCUCCAGACCAGCAAAUACAGCCAGAGAUGACCCAAUUACAAGUGCAACAAGCGUUUAGGAAACCUUCUAGCAACAUCACAGUCGCCGUCUGUCCCAGCGAACAACUGGAGAUUGUUCCCAAUUCCCUUGAUGAUGUCAAGCAAUGUCACAACACCUUGCUCGCGGUCAAAAUGCUGCCCAAAGUAGCCAUCACCAUGAAGCAGGUGCCUUGCAAUUUACUGCCGUAUCCCGUGAUGCCGCUCAAGCAGACAAUGGCGCUUUACUUGCUUAGCAUUCGACCCUUCUUCACGAAGGAAGGCUUUAUUAAACAGCAGCGACUGGCCAUGGAGUUCCUUCAUAACAAAGGCUAUGAACUGCAGCAGUUGCUGGAGGCUGCAGGGCAACAGGAGAUUAAUUGGUUGGCUGACCGUUGGAUCACGUCCAAUUAUCUGCGACAUCGUGGACCACUCACAGUCUUCUCGAGUCCUUGCAUGACUUUUCCCAAGCAGGAUUUUCGCAAUGUCAUCGAUUUUACGCACUUUACGGCUCAAGCUAUCUAUGGAAUGUGCGAAUUUAAAUAUUUGCUGGAGCAUGAUCUUAUCCCGGUGCACAAGAUGGAUGAAUACGAUCUGGACAACAGUCAGUUUCACAAUGUGUUUGGCACGGUGCGAAAGCCACAAAAGUCCUCUGAUACGCUUGAGCAAUGCAACUCCGACUAUGUGAUUGUGAUACACCAAAAUAAUUUCCAUAAGUUGCCCGUUUACACGGCUGAUGAACGUAUACUUAAUAUCAACGAACUGCGCAAUCGGCUGCUUGGCAUUGUGCAAGGCAAUCAAGCGAUGGGGCCAGAGAUAGGCCUGCUCACCCACGACACGCGCGACAACUGGGCAGAUGCAUAUGGAGCACUGUGCAGCCAAGAGCACAAUGCCAAUGUGGUGGAGUGCAUCGAGGAGGCGCUCUUCACGGUCUCGAUGGAUGAGAUGGUGCAGUUGCCAUCCAAGGGACAGGAGCGUACAUUAGUCGCUAAGCAGUUGCUGCAUGGCGGGGGCCUUAACAGCAACAGCGCCAAUCGUUGGAUGGACAAGACCAUACAACUGAUUGUGAAUCCCAAUGGCACGGCCGGGAUCUGCAUGGAGCAUGCGCCGGCUGAUCCGCAGCCAGUGGUGAGCAUCAUGAACUACGUGCAGAGCAAUAUCACUAAUCCAGAGUACGGCAAUGAUGACGACAUCAUUGGAUUAGUCGAGCAACCUCAUCAACUGCACUUUAUGGAGCUGGAUCAAGGCAUUGAUCUCUGGCUGGGUGCGGCAAGAAGCAGCAUCAAUAAGAUCAGCAAUCGUCUGGAGAUGGAGGUCUUCAAGUUUCCCUGCUACGGCAAGUGUCUGAUUAAAUCGCAGGGAUUAUCCCCGGACAGCUUCAUCCAGAUGGCACUGCAACUAGCUUUCUAUCGCCUGCAUAAUGAGCUGCCGGCACAAUACGAGUCCGCGCACUUGCGCAUCUUUAAGUACGGACGCACUGAAACCAUUCGAUCCACUUCCAUGAAGUCUCUGGCUUUUGUCACGGCCAUGACAUCGAAGAACGCCUCGCUGAAGCAACGUUUGAUGGCGUUAAGAGCUGCCGUCGAUGGCCAUCAGACGCAAACCAAGUUGGCAAUGCGAGGACACGCCGUGGAUCGCCAUCUCUUCGGCUUAAUGCAGAUGGCAAGGGAAAAUGCCAUGCCGUUGCCCGAAUUCUUUUGCUCCCUCGGCUAUUUGAAGUCGACGCAAUUUCGUGUGCUCAGCGCACAGAUUGCGACGUCGCACGAUGGCUUCAUGGCCUUUGGGCCCCACACCUCGGAGGGUUAUGGCUGCUGUUACAAUCCUCGCGAGAACGACAUCAUUUUGGCCAUCUCUUCGUGGAAUCUCAAGCCGCAUAUUAGCGCCUUGGACUACGCCAAAGCCAUCGAGUUGGCACUGGCCGACAUGGGACAAUUGAUAUUGGAAGCUGGCGGAUAUUGUGCUGCAAAGGCGGCAUCUGAUUGCAAGAAGGAAGUCAAGGAAUGAUUUUCGAAAUCCAAUUUGUCGAUAUUUUUAUUUAACGAUACUACAUUAAAGUGGCUCAGUGAUAGCAGCUGCAGGAAAUGGCGCUCUUGAAGGUCACAUUGCGCACUCCCUCCAUGCAAAGCACACGACGUUGAAUCUACAAGAGGAGUACAGAAUCAAAAAGAGAUCAUCGGAGAUAUCUAGACCUAGUCCUUA